CAAGGGUUGUCAGAUCAGAAACAGAAUGACACACAAACACAAGAAACUUCACAGGCAGAUCAACAUGCAAUUUGAAGACGUGUGAUAAAAUACAGAGAGGUGAAGUAGUGUGUCUUUCCAGAUCCCCAAAUCAUUCCCCCUUAAAAGAUGAGCCUGAAGAGGAGAUUUGGGAACAUGCUGUUUCAUAAGUCGCUUUGCCAGAUCACCUGUGGUCGGGAUGUCUGCUAACAAGAUGCCUUGCUGGUCUGAGCGAGUUUAAAGGCUUACACAGACAGUCCAGAAGUUCUGAAGUCCAUCUUCGAUUUCAUUGGUAAGGGACUACACAAAAGGCUGUUUGACCCACACGUAAAGCAACCUGUCAGUGUUUGCUUUGUUAAGCAUCUC
Non-coding RNA from Paramisgurnus dabryanus, 384 nucleotides. The record is from RefSeq and is a predicted model, not a curated record. NCBI's taxonomy places the organism in Eukaryota, Metazoa, Chordata, Actinopteri, Cypriniformes, Cobitidae.